RNAcentral lists this ribosomal RNA (408 nucleotides) under uncultured bacterium. Its description in RNAcentral is "partial 16S ribosomal RNA". It matches the Rfam family "Bacterial small subunit ribosomal RNA", at positions 28 to 526 of the family's 1533-position model. The record is from RNAcentral.
GACGAACGCUGGCGGCGUGCUUAACACAUGCAAGUCGAACGAAGUGGCGAACGGGUGCGUAAUACGUGGGUAACCUGCCCUCCUUUUUGGGAUAAGCCUUGGAAACGGGGUCUAAUACAGAAUAAAGGGGGAUGGGCUCGCGGCCUGUCAGCUUGGUGGUGGGUUGAUGGGCUACCAAUGCGGUGACGGGUAGCCGGCCUGAGAGGGGGAACUGCGACAUAGAGAGUGUGAUACGGCCCACGAUCCGACGGGAUGCAGCAGGGUGGGAAAUGGCAGAAAGGGUGACAGACUGAUGCCGCGACGACGAGUGGGGGAUGAGGGCUGUCAGGUUGUAAACCUCUUUCGGUAGCGAAAGGGUAGGUGGAGAAGAAGCGCCGGCUAACUACGUGCCAGCCGCCGCGGUAAUAC